CAAUGCAUCUGCAGUGCAAACA
Molecule: microRNA, 22 nt
Filed under: Lottia gigantea (owl limpet)
Lineage: Eukaryota; Metazoa; Mollusca; Gastropoda; Lottiidae
Description: Lgi-Mir-33_3p* (star (passenger))
Source: RNAcentral